GUGCUUGUCUGGGGGGUGGGGACAAGAUGGUUUUGAGGUUGGUUUUUCUCAGGUUGCCGGCUUUUCCUUUGUACUUGGGAUAUGCUGACCCCUGGGGUUUCCCCAAAAGUGGAAAACUUGACUGCAUAAUCAGUGGUAGCAAGUGACUUCGUUCAUGUUUUCACUUG
Small nuclear RNA from Cebus imitator (Panamanian white-faced capuchin), 167 nucleotides. RefSeq annotates it as U1 spliceosomal RNA. The transcript has a single exon. The record is from RefSeq and is a predicted model, not a curated record. NCBI's taxonomy places the organism in Eukaryota, Metazoa, Chordata, Mammalia, Primates, Cebidae.